GGAUAUAGCUCAGUGGUAGAGCACUUGCCUAGCAUGUUCAAGACCCUGGGAUCAGUUCCCAGCCA
Molecule: transfer RNA, 65 nt
Filed under: Marmota monax (woodchuck)
Lineage: Eukaryota; Metazoa; Chordata; Mammalia; Rodentia; Sciuridae
Description: tRNA.Ala
Source: RNAcentral